CCCGUUUAUUUUCAUCCUCACAUAAGUUAGGUUAUGCCUGUUUGGUUUUAGGUUGGGGUGACCACGGAGUAUAAAACAACCUCCAUGAAAAAAGGACCAAAAAUCCUUAUUAGAGAAAGACAUUUCUAAAAUUAAUAAAUUAAUUUUUAAUGAUCCGAUAUUCGAUCAACGAACCAAGUUACCCUGGGGAUAACAGCGCAAUCCACUUCAAGAGCUCCUAUCGACAAGUGGGUUUACGACCUCGAUGUUGGAUCAGGGUAUCCUAGUGGUGCAGCAGCUACUAACGGUUCGUUUGUUCAACGAUUAAAACCCU
RNAcentral lists this ribosomal RNA (313 nucleotides) under Boophis elenae. RNAcentral describes it as "partial 16S ribosomal RNA". It matches the Rfam family "Bacterial large subunit ribosomal RNA", at positions 2204 to 2597 of the family's 2925-position model. The record is from RNAcentral. Lineage: Eukaryota; Metazoa; Chordata; Amphibia; Anura; Mantellidae.